UCUCCGUAGGUGAACCUGCGGAGGGAUCAUUAACACUUUUUGAUAUUUCAAAAAACCAAACCUGUGAACUUGAAUAUAACCCUUUACAAUCAGGAGGCAUUCGCCGCUGAAUUAGAAUAGGUUAGUUUUGUGUUUUUUCAUAAAGCUUAGUUCAGUCUGAAUCUUAGUGGUGCUUAAGAGCAUCAGCGUUAUUGGUUGUAAAGGGCCUAAUCAAAAAGAAAUAAAAAAGUUUUGUGCUUGGUUGGUAAGCAUUUUACUAUGUCUACUUCUAACUACAGAGCUUUUCUUCUUUUUGGGUCUAAUCCUAUAGACAAACGUAUUCACCUUUUUUUAUUAUUAAAAACAAUAAUUGUAACACAUACGGUCAACCCUAUGUGGACUAAUUGUGCAAACGUAACUGUGCUAUUGUACUUUUUUGUACAUGUUGCAUCUUUACUUUUGUAUCACUGUUAUAAAAAUUUAUAUACAACUCUUAGCAAUGGAUAUCUUGGUUCUC
RNAcentral lists this unclassified non-coding RNA (496 nucleotides) under plant metagenome. Its description in RNAcentral is "partial contains small subunit ribosomal RNA, internal transcribed spacer 1, and 5.8S ribosomal RNA". The record is from RNAcentral.